ACAGAGGUCCCAAGCGUUGUUCGGAUUCACUGGGCGUAAAGUGUGCGCAGGUGGCCGCGCAUGUCGAGUGUGAAAUCCCCGGGCUUAACUUGGGAAUUGCGCUCGAAACUACGUGGCUGGAGUGUGGCAGAGGAAGGUGGAAUUCCAGGUGUAGCGGUGAAAUGCGUAGAGAUCUGGAGGAACACCGAUGGCGA
Molecule: ribosomal RNA, 194 nt
Filed under: uncultured prokaryote
Description: partial 16S ribosomal RNA
Rfam family: Bacterial small subunit ribosomal RNA
Source: RNAcentral